Molecule: ribosomal RNA, 497 nt
Filed under: uncultured bacterium
Lineage: Bacteria
Description: partial 16S ribosomal RNA
Rfam family: Bacterial small subunit ribosomal RNA
Source: RNAcentral
GAUGAACGCUGGCGGCGUGCCUAAUACAUGCAAGUCGAGCGAACAGACGCGGAGCUUGCUCCUCUGACGUGAGCGGCGGACGGGUGAGUAACACGUGGAUAACCUACCUAUAAGACGGGGAUAACCUCGGGAAACCGGCGCUAAUACCGGAUAAGAUAUUGAACCGCAUGGUUCAAUGGUGAAUGACGGUUUUGCUGUCACGUAUCGAUGGAUCCGGGCCGCAUUAGGUGGUUGGUAAGGUCACGGCUUACCAAGGCAACCAUGCGUAGCCGACCGGAUAGACUGGUAGCCGACCUUGGAAGUUGACCACGCUCAAGGCGCCUACGGGAGGACGCAGACGCGAAUCGUACGCAACGGUCGGAAAUAUUGCAGAGUAGGGCCGCGUGAGAGGCGAAAACGUUGGGAUCGUAAAGCCGUCUUAUUAGGUAAGAACCGAUGUGGACGGAGAUAAGGCGUUAUUGACGGUACCUAAUCAAAAAGCAACGGCUAACUACGUG